GGGCGUGUUGUCGUUGAUGUCCAUGACGAUGAUCCGGACCUCGGUAGGUGGACAUGGCUGAACCAAAAGAUGACUGCUACAGGUCAUAUGAUUCAUAAGUUGACUACAGUUUCUGGAAAUUUCCAACAACAGUUGCAGGACAAAAGCUCAACCCUCAUCCUUGUGGAAUCUCACACCUCUCAUUUUGAGGACACAUUACAAUCAAUGAAACCAGAGACCAGCAGAUGACCUGUCUCCCCAUCAAAACUAGUUAUACCUGCAGGGGUGCUAAUAGCCACUAUCUAUGUCCUAAGCCUGCAGGACUCCAGGCUGACCAACAGCCUGCAUCAAGUCCAAACCUCCUCGAAGCGUGUUCAUCUGAAAGAUUCCUGUCAUCGCCUGCUGAACAGGCCAUGUCUCUGAAUGCUAACCUCAUCUUGCUGCAUCGCCAUCAACUUUACAGGAAUUCUACAACUCCUACUUCAGCUAGCUGAAUCCACCUGAACUGUAACUCCUCCAUGAAGUUAUUGAACUCUGACUUCGUGGACUCCAGCAAUCACGUGAACUGAUAUACAUAUCUGUGGUUCUUUUCUUUUUAAGUUACUCAUAGUUGUAAAAACUCAUUUUUCUUAUCUUAUUAUGUGCUCGUGCACAUAUAUGAAGUUGUGACCAUUCCUUGGGUUUGAAUGUGUGAAUAAACCAU
Carcharodon carcharias (great white shark) is the source of this 682-nucleotide long non-coding RNA. RefSeq lists it as uncharacterized. The transcript is spliced from 3 exons. Lineage: Eukaryota; Metazoa; Chordata; Chondrichthyes; Lamniformes; Lamnidae. The record is from RefSeq and is a predicted model, not a curated record.